UUUGUGAUCAUUUGGGUAAAUGCUCCGAAGUGGAAUCCUUAUAUAUUAACCUGCUCCGGAACGGUCUGGCCUUUUACAAGUGUUUUCUGUCUCAGUCUGUAUACUGACUCCUUGAAGGGGCAACUGAGGCACAGAAGUCAAGAAACUUCGCAAGGAUGUUGUUAGACUUUCCUUGUCUACAACAAGUGACGGAGAGAAACUGUUUCAAGGAGGAAAGGAGUGUUUUGGCUUGCUUCCGGCCUCUUCAGUCCAGGCUUGGUUGUGAGAGGCUUGUGGUCCUCAGGAUGCUGUGGAAGGAGGCACGGGCCCUGUCUGGUUCUUCAGGACUUGCUCCAGAAUCGCCACCUUGGCCAUGCCCACAAAGCAUGUGCUGACAUGCUGACACAGGUGUGGAUGUGGCUUCCUGCAAAGAGAAGAAUGAAUUGCCAGUGCCCUGGUUGGUUGAGAGAGUCAUGAGAAUGUGAUGAGAAGAGCACUAAGAAUUCUGAUGGCCUGUGGCGUG
This is a long non-coding RNA of Dipodomys spectabilis (banner-tailed kangaroo rat), 502 nucleotides long. RefSeq lists it as uncharacterized. The transcript is spliced from 3 exons. The record is from RefSeq and is a predicted model, not a curated record. Lineage: Eukaryota; Metazoa; Chordata; Mammalia; Rodentia; Heteromyidae.